GACGGUCUAAAAGUGCCGAACA
This 22-nucleotide microRNA is filed under the name Echinococcus granulosus. RNAcentral's name for it is "egr-miR-96-3p". Its record names the gene egr-miR-96-3p. Lineage: Eukaryota; Metazoa; Platyhelminthes; Cestoda; Cyclophyllidea; Taeniidae. The record is from miRBase by way of RNAcentral.